ACAGGAUUAGAUACCCUGGUAGUCCACGCCGUAAACGAUGUCGACUUGGAGGUUGUUCCCUUGAGGAGUGGCUUCCGGAGCUAACGCGUUAAGUCGACCGCCUGGGGAGUACGGCCGCAAGGUUAAAACUCAAAUGAAUUGACGGGGGCCCGCACAAGCGGUGGAGCAUGUGGUUUAAUUCGAUGCAACGCGAAGAACCUUACCUACUCUUGACAUCCAGAGAACUUUCCAGAGAUGCAUUGGUGCCUUCGGGAACUGUGAGACAGGUGCUGCAUGGCUGUCGUCAGCUCGUGUUGUGAAAUGUUGGGUUAAGUCCCGCAACGAGCGCAACCCUUAUCCUUUGUUGCCAGCGAUUCGGUCGGGAACUCAAAGGAGACUGCCGGUGAUAAACCGGAGGAAGGUGGGGAUGACGUCAAGUCAUCAUGGCCCUUACGAGUAGGGCUACACACGUGCUACAAUGGCGCAUACAAAGAGAAGCGACCUCGCGAGAGCAAGCGGACCUCACAAAGUGCGUCGUAGUCCGGAUCGGAGUCUGCAACUCGACUCCGUGAAGUCGGAAUCGCUAGUAAUCGUGGAUCAGAAUGCCACGGUGAAUACGUUCCCGGGCCUUGUACACACCGCCCGUCACACCAUGGGAGUGGGUUGCAAAAGAAGUAGGUAGCUUAACCUUCGGGA
This 675-nucleotide ribosomal RNA is filed under the name Flavobacterium sp. Its description in RNAcentral is "bacterial SSU rRNA". It matches the Rfam family "Bacterial small subunit ribosomal RNA", at positions 772 to 1447 of the family's 1533-position model. The record is from RNAcentral. Lineage: Bacteria; Pseudomonadati; Bacteroidota; Flavobacteriia; Flavobacteriales; Flavobacteriaceae.